This 137-nucleotide ribosomal RNA is filed under the name uncultured bacterium. RNAcentral's name for it is "partial 16S ribosomal RNA". It matches the Rfam family "Bacterial small subunit ribosomal RNA", at positions 355 to 509 of the family's 1533-position model. The record is from RNAcentral.
UGGGGAAUAUUGCACAAUGGGGGAAACCCUGAUGCUGCGACGCCGCGUGAAGGAAGAAGUAUCUCGGUAUGUAAACUUCUAUCAGCAGGGAAGAUAGUGACGGUACCUGACUAAGAAGCCCCGGCUAACUACGUGCC